RNAcentral lists this ribosomal RNA (234 nucleotides) under uncultured bacterium. RNAcentral describes it as "partial 16S ribosomal RNA". It matches the Rfam family "Bacterial small subunit ribosomal RNA", at positions 524 to 757 of the family's 1533-position model. The record is from RNAcentral.
UACGGAGGGUGCAAGCGUUACCCGGAAUCACUGGGCGUAAAGGGCAUGUAGGCGGUUAUUUAAGUCUGGAUUUAUAGACCGAGGCUCAACCUCGGGAAUGGACUGGAUACUGGAUGACUGGACGACUGGAGGGGAGAGUGGAAUUCUCGGUGUAGCGGUGGAAUGCUUAGAUACCGAGAGGAACACCAGUGGCGAAGGCGGCUCUCGGGACAGUGCGUGACGCUGAGGUGCGAA